AGGAUUUUACCCAGAAAACAGACUUACACAAAGUGUUUUCUGCAAACUGUCAUAGCAACAGCACCCAUUUGUGACAUCAUGGAGUGAAGAGGCACAUUAUUCUCUGAGCCAAACUCUUUCUUCAAAUCAAACCCACAGAAGAAAAAUGCAGACACCAGGUAAGCCUGGUUGUGUAUAUUCUCAUCUUAUUUUCUUCUUUUAAGUGCGUAGAUUUCCUGAACUGGCUAGAUGUGGGUAGUUCCACUGCCACCAUUAUUCCUGGGGCUUUCUUACAUACUCCAACUUCCAUUCCGUGAAUGAAUCCAAAGAAGGUUGCCUUGACAACCACUCACCUCUCUCUCAUCAAGCACCCUGAACAGCCUCAAGUGCUUCAUUGAGAUAAAAGCCUGCAGAGCACCCAGAUUCAGGACCUCUGAUGACGCACAGCAGCUGAAAGGCUACCCUGGGAUGUGCUGCUGUAGAUAAAAGUUCUGAAAUGCUUCCUUUCCAUCACCUUUCCUGUCAGCUACCGCAGCCAUUCCCACUGACAGUACUUGAAGGAUGAGGCCUAUAAACUACCGAAAUAAAACGUCAUUGUCUAAGAUGCAACAAUUGAUAUAUGCACAGCAAACGGCUACGACCCCAAAGCUACCCAUGGCUGCAGCCUCUACUUGUCUCCUCAGGACAUGACUUCCUGUUCCUUGACAGAGGUUCUUGUCUGACCUUAAUAUUUUAAGAUAAAUUUUCCGAUCUCCACAGCAGUUUUUCUCUUCUGGAGAGUGAAUUCUGUGGCAAAUCCUGUGGUCAGCAGCUCACAAUGAGGUUCACCCAUGACACGGAGUUGGCUCCUGCUGCAGCUCUUUCUGGGUCAUAGAAUUCAUCAGAGAAUUGCUCAUGGCCCUCAGCCCCGAGCUAGGAUGGAGAGAUGGAUGAGGCCAAGGUCAGCCAUGCCCAUGGAGAGAGGCUGCCGUGCGUUGGAACGAUGCUUCAGAGGACAAAGACAUCAGCCCAAGUGUUGGCCAAGCAAUGGAAGGCAGUGGGGGUGGAUUUCUGAGAAUAUAGAAAAAGAGAAUAAAAAUUAUUGCUUGAUCAUGCAGGAAAUGGAUGCAAUAAAGGAGUCCAACAGCCUGGCCCCAGAUAGACAUUAUCUUGGAUUCACCUUGAAGUCCUAUUUUU
This 1155-nucleotide long non-coding RNA is filed under the name Rhinopithecus bieti (black snub-nosed monkey). RNAcentral describes it as "lncRNA (ENSRBIG00000046048.1)". Lineage: Eukaryota; Metazoa; Chordata; Mammalia; Primates; Cercopithecidae. The record is from RNAcentral.